This 363-nucleotide transfer-messenger RNA is filed under the name Salmonella enterica subsp. enterica serovar Infantis. It matches the Rfam family "transfer-messenger RNA". From Rfam's summary of the family: Bacterial tmRNA, also known as 10Sa RNA or SsrA, is named for its dual tRNA and mRNA-like properties. Its role is to liberate the mRNA from a stalled ribosome. To accomplish this part of the tmRNA is used as a reading frame that ends in a translation stop signal. The record is from RNAcentral. RNAcentral also lists the same sequence under 4 other names. Lineage: Bacteria; Pseudomonadati; Pseudomonadota; Gammaproteobacteria; Enterobacterales; Enterobacteriaceae.
GGGGCUGAUUCUGGAUUCGACGGGAUUUGCGAAACCCAAGGUGCAUGCCGAGGGGCGGUUGGCCUCGUAAAAAGCCGCAAAAAAAUAGUCGCAAACGACGAAAACUACGCUUUAGCAGCUUAAUAACCUGCUUAGAGCCCUCUCUCCCUAGCCUCCGCUCUUAGGACGGGGAUCAAGAGAGGUCAAACCCAAAAGAGAUCGCGUGGAUGCUCUGCCUGGGGUUGAAGCGUUAAAACGAAUCAGGCUAGUCUGGUAGUGGCGUGUCCGUCCGCAGGUGCCAGGCGAAUGUAAAGACUGACUAAGCAUGUAGUACCGAGGAUGUAGGAAUUUCGGACGCGGGUUCAACUCCCGCCAGCUCCACCA